CUGGGCGUUAAGUUGCAGGGUAUAGACCCGAAACCCGGUGAUCUAGCCAUGGGCAGGUUGAAGGUUGGGUAACACUAACUGGAGGACCGAACCGACUAAUGUUGAAAAAUUAGCGGAUGACUUGUGGCUGGGGGUGAAAGGCCAAUCAAACCGGGAGAUAGCUGGUUCUCCCCGAAAGCUAUUUAGGUAGCGCCUCGUGAAUUCAUCUCCGGGGGUAGAGCACUGUUUCGGCAAGGGGGUCAUCCCGACUUACCAACCCGAUGCAAACUGCGAAUACCGGAGAAUGUUAUCACGGGAGACACACGGCGGGUGCUAACGUCCGUCGUGAAGAGGGAAACAACCCAGACCGCCAGCUAAGGUCCCAAAGUCAUGGUUAAGUGGGAAACGAUGUGGGAAGGCCCAGACAGCCAGGAUGUUGGCUUAGAAGCAGCCAUCAUUUAAAGAAAGCGUAAUAGCUCACUGGUCGAGUCGGCCUGCGCGGAAGAUGUAACGGGGCUAAACCAUGCACCGAAGCUGCGGCAGCGACGCUGAUGCGUUGUUGGGUAGGGGAGCGUUCUGUAAGCCUGUGAAGGUGUGCUGUGAGGCAUGCUGGAGGUAUCAGAAGUGCGAAUGCUGACAUAAGUAACGAUAAAGCGGGUGAAAAGCCCGCUCGCCGGAAGACCAAGGGUUCCUGUCCAACGUUAAUCGGGGCAGGGUGAGUCGACCCCUAAGGCGAGGCCGAAAGGCGUAGUCGAUGGGAAACAGGUUAAUAUUCCUGUACUUGGUGUUACUGCGAAGGGGGGACGGAGAAGGCUAUGUUGGCCGGGCGACGGUUGUCCCGGUUUAAGCGUGUAGGCUGGUUUUCCAGGCAAAUCCGGAAAAUCAAGGCUGAGGCGUGAUGACGAGGCACUACGGUGCUGAAGCAACAAAUGCCCUGCUUCCAGGAAAAGCCUCUAAGCAUCAGGUAACAUCAAAUCGUACCCCAAACCGACACAGGUGGUCAGGUAGAGAAUACCAAGGCGCUUGAGAGAACUCGGGUGAAGGAACUAGGCAAAAUGGUGCCGUAACUUCGGGAGAAGGCACGCUGAUAUGUAGGUGAAGCGACUUGCUCGUGGAGCUGAAAUCAGUCGAAGAUACCAGCUGGCUGCAACUGUUUAUUAAAAACACAGCACUGUGCAAACACGAAAGUGGACGUAUACGGUGUGACGCCUGCCCGGUGCCGGAAGGUUAAUUGAUGGGGUCAGCGCAAGCGAAGCUCUUGAUCGAAGCCCCGGUAAACGGCGGCCGUAACUAUAACGGUCCUAAGGUAGCGAAAUUCCUUGUCGGGUAAGUUCCGACCUGCACGAAUGGCGUAAUGAUGGCCAGGCUGUCUCCACCCGAGACUCAGUGAAAUUGAACUCGCUGUGAAGAUGCAGUGUACCCGCGGCAAGACGGAAAGACCCCGUGAACCUUUACUAUAGCUUGACACUGAACAUUGAGCCUUGAUGUGUAGGAUAGGUGGGAGGCUUUGAAGUGUGGACGCCAGUCUGCAUGGAGCCGGCCUUGAAAUACCACCCUUUAAUGUUUGAUGUUCUAACGUUGACCCGUGAUCCGGGUUGCGGACAGUGUCUGGUGGGUAGUUUGACUGGGGCGGUCUCCUCCUAAAGAGUAACGGAGGAGCACGAAGGUUGGCUAAUCCUGGUCGGACAUCAGGAGGUUAGUGCAAUGGCAUAAGCCAGCUUGACUGCGAGCGUGACGGCGCGAGCAGGUGCGAAAGCAGGUCAUAGUGAUCCGGUGGUUCUGAAUGGAAGGGCCAUCGCUCAACGGAUAAAAGGUACUCCGGGGAUAACAGGCUGAUACCGCCCAAGAGUUCAUAUCGACGGCGGUGUUUGGCACCUCGAUGUCGGCUCAUCACAUCCUGGGGCUGAAGUAGGUCCCAAGGGUAUGGCUGUUCGCCAUUUAAAGUGGUACGCGAGCUGGGUUUAGAACGUCGUGAGACAGUUCGGUCCCUA
Molecule: ribosomal RNA, 1970 nt
Filed under: Escherichia coli
Lineage: Bacteria; Pseudomonadati; Pseudomonadota; Gammaproteobacteria; Enterobacterales; Enterobacteriaceae
Also listed under: 1 other name
Description: partial 23S ribosomal RNA
Rfam family: Bacterial large subunit ribosomal RNA
Source: RNAcentral